This 540-nucleotide ribosomal RNA is filed under the name uncultured bacterium. Its description in RNAcentral is "bacterial SSU rRNA". It matches the Rfam family "Bacterial small subunit ribosomal RNA", at positions 355 to 896 of the family's 1533-position model. The record is from RNAcentral.
UAGGGAAUAUUGGACAAUGGGUGUAAGCCUGAUCCAGCCAUGCCGCGUGCAGGAAGAAGGCCUUCUGGGUUGUAAACUGCUUUUGCCGGGGGAUAAAAGAUCCAUGCGUGGAGAAUUGAAGGUACCAGAGGAAUAAGCCACGGCUAACUACGUGCCAGCAGCCGCGGUAAUACGUAGGUGGCAAGCGUUGUCCGGAUUUAUUGGGUUUAAAGGGUGCGUAGGCGGCUUUGUAAGUCAGUUGUGAAAUACGGCAGCUCAACUGUCGAGGUGCAAUUGAUACUGCAAAGCUUGAGUACUGAUGAGGUAGGCGGAAUGGACGGUGUAGCGGUGAAAUGCUUAGAGAUCGUCCAGAACACCGAUAGCGAAGGCAGCUUACUAAGGAGUAACUGACGCUGAGGCACGAAAGUGUGGGGAUCAAACAGGAUUAGAUACCCUGGUAGUCCACACUGUAAGCGAUGAUUACUCGAUGUGUGCGAUAUACGGCACGCGUCUUAGCAAAAGCGAUAAGUAAUCCACCUGGGGAGUACGCCGGCAACGGUG